AAUAGAUACCCCGGUAGUCCCAGCCGUAAACGAUGAGCACUGGGUUGGGGGCCCCACCGACGGGCUCCCAGCCGAAGGGAAACCGUGAAGUGCUCCGCCUGGGGAGUAUGGCCGCAAGGCUGAAACUCAAAGGAAUUGACGGGGGCUCACACAAGCGGUGGAGCAUGUGGCUUAAUUCGAGGCUACGCGAAAAACCUUAUCCCGGGCUUGACAUGCGAGGAUUAGUCGGCGGAAACGUCGAUGACGCCGCAAGGUGGAACUCGCGCAGGUGCUGCAUGGCUGUCGUCAGCUCGUGCCGUGAGGUGUUGGGUUAAGUCCCGUAACGAGCGAAACCCCUGCGACCAGUUGCCAGCGCGUCAUGGCGGGGACUCUGGUCGGACCGCCGGCGUCAAGGCCGGAGGAAGGCGGGGACGACGUCAAGUCAUCAUGGCCCUUAUGCCCGGGGCCGCACACGUGCUACAAUGGGGCGGACAAAGCGUCGCGAGGCCGCGAGGCCAAGCCAAUCGCAAAAACCGUCCCUCAGUUCGGAUUGCGGGCUGCAACCCGCCCG
RNAcentral lists this ribosomal RNA (550 nucleotides) under uncultured bacterium. RNAcentral's name for it is "bacterial SSU rRNA". It matches the Rfam family "Bacterial small subunit ribosomal RNA", at positions 777 to 1318 of the family's 1533-position model. The record is from RNAcentral.